AACGAACGCUGGCGGCAGGCCUAACACAUGCAAGUCGAACGCGCGUAGCAAUACGCGAGUGGCGCACGGGUGAGUAACACGUGGGAAUCAACCCAGAGGUUCGGAAUAACCGCGGGAAACUGCGGCUAAUACCGGAUAUCCCCUACGGGGGAAAGAUUUAUCGCCUUUGGACGAGCCCGCGUCCGAUUAGCUAGUUGGUGAGGUAAUGGCUCACCAAGGCUACGAUCGGUAGCUGGUCUGAGAGGACGACCAGCCACACUGGAACUGAGACACGGUCCAGACUCCUACGGGAGGCAGCAGUGGGGAAUAUUGGGCAAUGGAGGCAACUCUGACCCAGCCAUGCCGCGUGGGUGACGAAGGUCUUCGGAUUGUAAAGCCCUUUCGGCGGGGACGAUGAUGACGGUACCCGCAGAAGAAGCCCCGGCUAACUUCGUGCCAGCAGCCGCGGUAAUACGAAGGGGGCUAGCGUUGUUCGGAAUUACUGGGCGUAAAGGGCGUGUAGGCGGCCCGUUAAGUCAGGUGU
Molecule: ribosomal RNA, 523 nt
Filed under: uncultured bacterium
Lineage: Bacteria
Description: bacterial SSU rRNA
Rfam family: Bacterial small subunit ribosomal RNA
Source: RNAcentral